This 383-nucleotide ribosomal RNA is filed under the name uncultured eukaryote. RNAcentral describes it as "partial 18S ribosomal RNA". It matches the Rfam family "Eukaryotic small subunit ribosomal RNA", at positions 592 to 976 of the family's 1831-position model. The record is from RNAcentral.
CAAUAGCGUAUAUUAAAGUUGUUGCAGUUAAAAAGCUCGUAGUUGGAUUUCUGGUGGGAGCGAUCGGUCUGGCGCUUAGCGCGAGUACUUGCAUCGUCUCCGGCCAUCCUUGGGGAGAGUCUGUCUGGCAUUAGGUUGUCGGGCAGAGGAUCCUCAUCGUUUACUGUGAAAAAAUUAGAGUGUUCAAAGCGGGCUUAUGCCGUUGAAUAUAUUAGCAUGGAAUAAUAAGAUAGGACUUUGGUACUAUUUUGUUGGUUUGCGCACCAAAGUAAUGAUUAAUAGGGACAGUUGGGGGUAUUCGUAUUCCGUUGUCAGAGGUGAAAUUCUUGGAUUUACGGAAGACGAACUACUGCGAAAGCAUUUACCAAGGAUGUUUUCAUUGA